This 496-nucleotide long non-coding RNA is filed under the name Gopherus evgoodei (Goodes thornscrub tortoise). RNAcentral describes it as "lncRNA (ENSGEVG00005004968.1)". Lineage: Eukaryota; Metazoa; Chordata; Testudines; Testudinidae. The record is from RNAcentral.
GGUUACUUGGUUUGCUUUGGAAGAGAAACUGAAUAGAAAAUCCACAGCACAGUAACAUACAUGUUUUCGUUACUUUUCUCCUAUCACCUCUCCUUGUCAGAUUUCUGUUUUCCCUCUGGGAUUUUCCUUUCUGCAGUGUGCUGUAGGGGCUAAAGCUUGAACAACCAGUGAAUUGACUAGACAGAGACUCUGCUUUCUGGGCUGAGCAGAUGCCCGUCUGUUCCAGCGUGGUUCCAGUGCAGAUGAUCAGAUGAUUUGAUUAAAGCGGAAGGAUCUUGGCCAUGCUGCCAUCACUGGUCACCCUGGCGAUAUUUUAAUUCAUCACGUCAUAUGGAAUCCCACUGCAACCCACGCACAGACCAAGAGUGCCACCGAAGAGAUGCUGUUGAAGGCCUCCUGUGUCAAACUGAACCUGUCUCCUUGGUGGAUUAACCAGGGCUGGAGCCAAUCCAUGACCUUGCAUGGCUGCUAGUACUGCAGGUGGUUGGAACAUAGG